RNAcentral lists this ribosomal RNA (532 nucleotides) under uncultured bacterium. RNAcentral's name for it is "bacterial SSU rRNA". It matches the Rfam family "Bacterial small subunit ribosomal RNA", at positions 977 to 1509 of the family's 1533-position model. The record is from RNAcentral.
GGCCUUGACAUACUAAGAACUUUCCAGAGAUGGAUUGGUGCCUUCGGGAACUUAGAUACAGGUGCUGCAUGGCUGUCGUCAGCUCGUGUCGUGAGAUGUUGGGUUAAGUCCCGCAACGAGCGCAACCCUUUUCCUAUUUGCCAGCGGGUUAAGCCGGGAACUUUAAGGAUACUGCCAGUGACAAACUGGAGGAAGGCGGGGACGACGUCAAGUCAUCAUGGCCCUUACGGCCAGGGCUACACACGUGCUGCAAUGGUCGGUACAAAGGGUUGCUACCUCGCGAGAGGAUGCUAAUCUCAAAAAGCCGAUCGUAGUCCGGAUCGCAGUCUGCAACUCGACUGCGUGAAGUCGGAAUCGCUAGUAAUCGCGGAUCAGAAUGCCGCGGUGAAUACGUUCCCGGGCCUUGUACACACCGCCCGUCACACCAUGGGAGCUUGUUGCACCAGAAGUAGGUAGUCUAACCGCAAGGAGGACGCUUACCACGGUGUGGCCGAUGACUGGGGUGAAGUCGUAACAAGGUAAGCGUAGAUGA